Sander lucioperca (pikeperch) is the source of this 2029-nucleotide RNA transcript. It is a transcript of the gene named basic leucine zipper ATF-like transcription factor 2, with no coding region annotated. The record is from RefSeq and is a predicted model, not a curated record. NCBI's taxonomy places the organism in Eukaryota, Metazoa, Chordata, Actinopteri, Perciformes, Percidae. The transcript has 6 exons.
GCAACACAGACCUCACAUCUCUUACCUCGCAAUGGGUCAGUUUAAAAGAAAGAGAAACUGAAAGCAAUCGCAGCAUCAUGUUGCAUCAUCGGCUGUCUGUUGCCAAACGUCGGUCGCUCAAAAGCCAUCAGACACACUGGCUGAGCGCUUCACUCCGGGUUGCACGUUUACAGAACCAACAAGUCAUCAAGCAUCAGACAUUAGUUUGCACGGAAAUAUAGCAUUGCCUGUGUCACAGCCCAUACUUUCAUUUUUCAUCGCGAGUCAUUCAAAGUGCACAUCGAGCUGCAGAGGCGCGCUGGUUGCGCGUCAACGUCAGACUUUAAAUGGCAGCGAAUUGACAUGCGGGCGCGCAGCACGGAUGAUCCGGGCUGCCGGCGGACACAGACAACCAAUCGGCCAGCCAGUGUGCUGCAGGCGGAAGAUAUGUCUCCGCUAUUCAUGGACACGGGGCAGGAGUCCAAUAGCCCUGACUCGGGCUCAGCUAACGGGAGCAACACCGCUGGAUCCGAGAGAGAAGGAGAGGGACAACAGACGGCAAACCGAGGAAGGAAAAGACAAGAGAAGAACAGAGACGCUGCGAGAAAGAGCCGGAGAAAACAAACCGAGAGAGCGGACGAACUUCAUGAGGAGCUACAGUGUCUGGAGCGUUCAAAUUCAGCCCUUAAAAAGGAGAUUGUCGCAUUGAAAAAAGACUUCCACCUUUAUACGACGACUUUGGAGCGCCACAAGCCUUUUUGCUGCCUCAAAGACUCCACUUCCAGCUCCAGCUCUACAACCUGCUUCUCGGUUUCCCCCAAGGCCAACUGUUGGGUUGGCCCCAGCCCUCCUGCUGUCCCUCCCCAGGCCUCAGGCUCCACUUUUGCUGCUGCCCCUCCACUCUCUACCACCUCAACCCAUAGCCUGGGUCUUCAAACCCGCGACUGUGUUGGAAGCGCACAUCUCUCAUCUUCAACUGCUACUCCUCCAACAACCACGACAUUAGCCUCACCCAGCAGCUCGUCUACUGAACUCUCCACUACGUCCAGCUCUGUAACGGACCCUUACUCUGCCUCUUUCUCUGCUGUCCCGGCUCCUCUCACGUCAAGGCAGACAAACGUUCCGCCUGUCUCCACCAGCCUUGUUUCAAACCCUGAGGCCUCCAUUUCUCUCACUGCAGCUGCUCAGCCUCAAUCUGGGCAAAGCAUCAUCAAUGAAAGCUCUGCAAUGUCAUCAAAUCCUGGUUUCUCUCCACUUCAUUCUGGUGCACUGGAUGCCUUUCUAAUGAAACAGGCCACUUUUUUAACUGAUUCAUCUAACGUAGUGCCCCCUUACUCCCAUUUAGGAGCAGAAAACACAGAUCUAGUAGCGCAAGGUUGUUCCAUGGAUGUGCCCCAGCUUCAUCCAUGUCAGUUCAGCAGAAAUCCAAUGGAUUCAAGUCCACCAACUUUUCAAGAUCCUCCUCUUCAGUCCCUCUCAGCGCCGCCUCCUGACUCUGCUUUUGCCUUAAAGCCGAGUUAUAGCCAACAGGUCUCACUCAAUCCUGUGUCUCUGCUUUCCCUGCUCACUGUCCCGAGUCCCCUUCAUGUGUCUCAGACUACCUCCAGCAUCUUUGAUGGACCUCUCUCUCAACCUCCGCCCUCGCUGCCACCACUGGGGGAUAUCUCAAGAGAUCUCUCCCUUUCUGAGCUCCUGGAGGUCAAUGAUUGGAUACUAAAUGGGACUAGUCACCAGUAGCACUACAUUGCAAACAAAGACCAGCUUGUAGUUUAAUCAAACUCUGCUGAGCAGCUACAGCAACAAGACGGACAGAUUUGUACAUCUGACAUCUGUAUGGAAAACCGGACAUCAGAAUAUGAAAGACGGCCAAAACGAAUGUCAAAAUGGUCAAAGCCAAUGCAGCAGAAGCAGAGAUAUCCCAGCUUUUAGUCCCUAGGUUGGGUCAAGCUCCAAAAACACUGGAUCCUACACUUCCCACAAUGCAACCAAUAGCAUAUUUCUGGUUGGAUGCUGGUAAAUGCCUGGUAGAUGUCACUCCAGAUCCUGUAAC